This 56-nucleotide transfer RNA is filed under the name Paenibacillus taihuensis. RNAcentral's name for it is "tRNA-Leu". It matches the Rfam family "tRNA", at positions 23 to 71 of the family's 71-position model. Rfam says of the family: Transfer RNA (tRNA) molecules are approximately 80 nucleotides in length. Their secondary structure includes four short double-helical elements and three loops (D, anti-codon, and T loops). Lineage: Bacteria; Bacillati; Bacillota; Bacilli; Caryophanales; Paenibacillaceae. The record is from RNAcentral.
GCACCAGACUUAGGAUCUGGCGGGCGACCGUGGGGGUUCAAGUCCCUCUACGCGCA